RNAcentral lists this long non-coding RNA (4703 nucleotides) under Brassica napus (rape). Its description in RNAcentral is "long non-coding RNA (BNAP_LNC011966)". The record is from RNAcentral. Lineage: Eukaryota; Viridiplantae; Streptophyta; Magnoliopsida; Brassicales; Brassicaceae.
CCAGAUUGGUGGCCUUUGAAAGAUCUGGCAUUUGUAUCAGGUCGUGAGAAUAGCUCAAAUCCAUCUCCUUGAGAUAUGGAAGCGCAUGUACUCAACAAAACAAAAAGGACAAAAACAUAGCUCAGUAGAACAUGGUUUGUUAUCCAAAAAAAUAAAAUAAAGAUUAUAAUCUCACUGCUGAUAACAUAACUGUUCUAACAAUUGUGAGAAGGAACAGAUGCGGAAACAGAUGAAUAAAAACGAUGUAACAACGACACAGAGAUUUAACGUGGUUCACCAACUUGGCUACGUCCACGGGCAAAGAGAGAUCUUAUUAUUGGAGGCGAUAUUGAGUUUACAGAGUGCAAGUUUAGAGUUACUUCGAAUACAAGAUAUAUAUAGUAACAUCUCGCAUCUAAAACCCUAGACUAAACGGACUCAUGGGCUUAAGCCCACGAUCAGAUGUAACAUCCAUAAUAACUUGAUGCAACGCUCUUGAUGCAACCGAGUCGGUAUGAUGUACAUGAUGUAACAUCCAUCGCCUAGAUGUAACAUCCAGAUUCAAGGCAUAUCAACAAUUCUCCACCUUGACUUGAAUCCUCUCAAUAACAGAUGUACCAGAUGCACCUUCAAGUGCCAAAUGUACCAGAUGCGCUUCUCUGCGCUAGAUGUACCAUCGCUCUCUUUGCCUCAGAUGUCCCUUCGGACCAGAUGUGCUGCUUAGACGAACCAGACGCCAUUUAACGGCCAGAUGCUCAACUAGAGCCAGACGUUCGUUAUCAGCCAGAUGUCCCAAUAGACUAGACGUCCUUACGGACCAGAUGUCCUUACAGACCAGAUGCCCCGACGGGCCAGAUUCCCCAACGGGCCAGAUGCCCCAACGGGCCAGACGUCCUUGCGGACCAGAUGUCCUUGCGGACCAGAUGCCCCUUCGGGCCAUAUGCCCCUUAGGGCCAUACUAACAGUUUGAGAUGUUUAGCAAGUCUAAGCAAUGCUUAAACUUGCUGUGAGGAACCGGCUUUGUGAACAUGUCAGCAGGAUUAUCUGCAGUUCCUACUUUCUUCACUUCAAUUCGCUUCUCAUCUCUCAAGAAGUGAUACCUCACAUCAAUAUGCUUCGUUCUCUCAUGAUGAACCUGAUCCUUGGCUAAGCAUAUAGCGCUCAAACUGUCACAAUACACAGUAGCCUAAUCUUGAUGCAAACCGAGAUCAUCUCCAGCAUAAUCAGAAUCAGAAAAGCCUGUUACCAAUCGCGGAUUGUCGCAUCCAUAGAUGAGACCAACAUCAGAUGUACCCUUCAGAUACCGGAAAAUCCGCUUCACAGCUGCCCAAUGCUCCUUCCCAGGUUGUCCCAUAAACCUGCUAACCACACUGACUGCAUGUGCCAGAUCUGGUCUUGUGCAGACCAUUGCAUACAUCAAGCUUCCUACAGCGCUAGCAUAAGGAACUCGAGACAUAUACUCUGUCUCUUCUUCAGACUGAACCUCAUACAUGGUAAGAUGAAGAUUUGAUGCACACGGAGUACUAAUAGGUUUACAUGAAGACAUUUCGAACCUUGUCAACACCUUAUUAAUGUAGGUCUUCUGUGACAAGAACAACUUCUUCUUCUCCCUAUCUCUAAAGAUCUCCAUCCCUAGAAUCUUCUUUGCUGCACCCAAAUCCUUCAUCUCAAAUUCAGAACUCAGAAGCUCCUUCAGCUUCUUGAUGUCACACAUCUUCUCUGCAGCUAUCAGCAUGUCAUCCACAUAGAGCACCAAAUAGAUGAAUGUGUCAUCUUUCAAUUUUCUCAUGUAGACACAACAAUCAUAAGGACUUUUGAUGUAGCCCAACUUGAUCAUAUAGCUGUCGAAUCUCUUGUACCAUUGUCUGGGAGACUGCUUAAGUCCAUAAAGGGACUUCCGAAGCUUACACACAUAGUCUUCUUUUCCAGGAACUCGGAAACCAUCCGGCUGAGUCAUGUAUAUCUCCUCCUCAAGCUCUCCAUGAAGAAACGCAGUCUUCACAUCGAGUUGCUCAAGCUCCAAGUCCUGAUGUGCUACCAGCGCUAGCAACACUCUGAUGGAAGUAUGUCUGACCACUGGUGAAAAUAUCUCAUUGUAGUCUACUCCCUCUCUCUGACUAAAACCUCUUGCAACAACCCGAGAUUUAUACUUAACUCCUUCUGUCGGCGAUGCUCCAUCCUUAAUCUUGUAGAUCCACUUGCAUGUAACAACUCUUCUCCCUGGUGGUAAUGUGACCAAAUCCCAUGUAUGAUUCUUCUCAUGAGACUCCAUUUCGUCUCCCAUUGCUGCAUGCCAUUUCUCAUACUCGGGACAAGAAACAGCUUCCAUGUAAGUGGAUGGUUCAUACGUAUCCACUUCCUCUGCAACCUGAAGUGCAUAACCCACCAUAUCAUCAAAACGAUAUCUUUCUGGUGGCCUGACAUCAACCCUUCUUGGUCGAUCCUUCGCGAUGGUACGCUUCGUAGCAUCAAGCGGUUGAGUCUCCGUAGACUCCAACUGAACUUCUUCUACACGCUCCUCUUGAUUUUCUGUGUGUUCAUGCACAUUGAUCACGUCAUGAUCAUCUCGCAGCUCCACCUGUUUAUCAGUGCUACCUUUCUCUGCUUCAGAACUGGACCAUGAGCUUCUAACCAUAGAUGCUUCAUCGAAAACAACAUUCCUGCUUAGAAUCACUCGGUUUUCUGAUGGAGACCAGACCCUGUAUCCCUUGACUCCAUCGCCGUAGCCCAUAAAAACUCCCUUCCUUCCUCUUGGCUCUAGUUUACCUAUACGUAUCCACUUCCUCUGCAACCUGAAGUGCAUAACCCACCAUAUCAUCAAAACGAUAUCUCUCUGGUGGCCUGACAUCAACCCUUCUUGGUCGCAUCAGGCGGUUGAGUCUCCGUAGACUCCAACUGAACUUCUUCUACACGCUCCUCUUGAUUUUCUAGUGUGUUCCUGCACAUUGAUCACUUCAUGAUCAUCUUGCAGCUCCACCUGUUUAUCAGUGCUACCUUUCUCUACUUCAGAACUGGACCAUGAGCUUCUAACCAUAUAUGCUUCAUCGAAGAAAACAUUCCUGCUUAGAAUCACUCGGUUUUCUGAUGGAGACCAGACCCUGUAUCCCUUGACUCCAUCGCCGUAGCCCAUAAAAACUCCCUUCCUUGCUCUCGGCUCUAGUUUACCUUCACUUACAUGAUAGUAAACAGUGCAACCGAACACUCUUAGAAGUGAAUAAUCAGCAGAUCUACCUGACCACACUUCAGAAGGUAUCCUGCACUCGAUGCCUGUGUGGGGACCGAGAUUUAUCAAGUAACAAGCCGUGUUGACUGCUUCAGCCCAAAACCGCUUCUCCAGACCAGCAUUCGAGAGCAUGCACCUUGCUCUCUCUAGCAAUGUCUGGUUCAUUCGUUCUGCUACACCAUUUUGUUGUGGUGUUUCUCUGACUGUAAGAUGCCUUGCAAUCCCCGCAUCCUUACAAAAAUGAUUGAACUCUGCUAAGCAGAAUUCCAGACCGUUAUCAGUACGAAGUCGCUUCACCUUCUUCUCUGUUUGAUUCUCCACCAAUAUUUUCCACUCCUUGAAGCUACUGAACGCUUCACUUUUGUGCUUCAUAAAAAUUAUCCAAGUCUUCCUCGAAUAAUCAUCAAUCAUAGACACAAAAUAUCUGUGACCUUUCAGUGACUCUACUCUGGAUGGACCCCAACAGUCUGAAUAAUGAACGAUUGCACGAAGUUCUCGAAAGAGUUCGGCAAAGAUACCAACAGGAUUAGAGCAGCGUCUUCAUCCUCCACCUUAACAUCGAUGUUACGCAGCUCCAGUAAUAUCGAAUUUAACUUGUCAAGAUGGUCGCGAAGCUCAAUACCUUCUUGCAUACGCAAGGCAAAGAGGCGUUGCUUCAGAAGUAGCUUGUUCGUUAGAGAUUUUGUCAUGUACAAGCUCUCCAACUUCUGCCACAAACUAGCAGCAGUUUUCUCAUCCGACACUUCGAUGAUGAUCUCGUCUGCUAGACACAACAAAAUUGUUGAGAACGCCUUCUCUUCUAGAGUCUCCAAAUCAGCUGCUUCAGAUUUCUUCUCUGACAAUGGUCCCCAAAUGCCUUGUUGCUUCAACAACGCCUGCAUCUUAAUCUGCCAAAGACUGAAGCUAUUUCUCCCAUCAAACUUGUCGAUCUUCGCUCUUAUUCCAGACAUCUUCUCACUAGAUCACAACCCGAAGCUCUGAUACCAGUUUGUUGUAACAAUUGUGAGAAGGAACAGAUGCGGAAACAGAUGAAUAAAAGCGAUGUAACAACGACACAGAGAUUUAACGUGGUUCACCAACUUGGCUACGUCCACGGGCAAAGAGAGAUCUUAUUAUUGGAGGCGAUAUUGAGUUUACAGAGUGCAAGUUUAGAGUUACUUCGAAUACAAGAUAUAUAUAGUAACAUCUCGCAUCUAAAACCCUAGACUAAACGGACUCAUGGGCUUAAGCCCACGAUCAGAUGUAACAUCCAUAAUAACUUGAUGCAACGCUCUUGAUGCAACCGAGUCGGUAUGAUGUACAUGAUGUAACAUCCAUCGACUAGAUGUAACAUCCAGAUUCAAGGCAUAUCAACAAUAACAAUCAUUCUUAAAACUUACCACAACUCCUUCCCACAGCUUCUUGAGCUUGCUAUUCUGCAUUUUAAGCUCGACGAGGUUUUCAGGACGAAACUUAGAAGGCAGACAUCUCAUUGGAUAAUCUCUCCAUCUCAAUAAUUUCA